This 301-nucleotide ribosomal RNA is filed under the name uncultured bacterium. RNAcentral describes it as "partial 16S ribosomal RNA". It matches the Rfam family "Bacterial small subunit ribosomal RNA", at positions 509 to 808 of the family's 1533-position model. The record is from RNAcentral.
CAGCCGCCGCGGUAAUACGUAGGCCCCGAGCGUUGUCCGGAUUUAUUGGGCGUAAAGGGAGCGCAGGCGGUUUAGUAAGUCUGAAGUUAAAGGCAUUGGCUCAACCAAUGUAUGCUUUGGAAACUGUUAGACUUGAGUGCAGAAGGGGAGAGUGGAAUUCCAUGUGUAGCGGUGAAGUGCGUAGAUAUAUGGAGGAACACCGGUGGCGAAAGCGGCUCUCUGGCUUGUAACUGACGCUGAGGCUCGAAAGCGUGGGGCGCAAACAGGAUUAGAUACCCCAGUAGUCCCUGUCUCUUAUACA